Molecule: ribosomal RNA, 401 nt
Filed under: uncultured prokaryote
Description: bacterial SSU rRNA
Rfam family: Bacterial small subunit ribosomal RNA
Source: RNAcentral
UGGGGAAUAUUGCACAAUGGGCGAAAGCCUGAUGCAGCAACGCCGCGUGAGCGAUGAAGGCCUUCGGGUCGUAAAGCUCUGUCCUCAAGGAAGAUAAUGACGGUACUUGAGGAGGAAGCCCCGGCUAACUACGUGCCAGCAGCCGAGGUAAUACGUAGGGGGCUAGAGUUAUCCGGAUUUACUGGGCGUAAAGGGUGCGGAGGAGGUCUUUUAAGUCAGGAGUGAAAGGCUACGGCUCAACCGGAGUAAGCUCUUGAAACUGGAGGACUUGAGUGCAGUAGUGGAGAGUGGAAUUCCUAGUGUAGCGGUGAAAUGCGUAGAUAUUAGGAGGAACACCAGUAGCGAAGGCGGCUCUCUGGACUGUAACUGACGCUGAGGCACGAAAGCGUGGGGAGCAAACA